GGAGAGUCCAGCCGGGCCUGCGCUUAAGUGCGCGGUCUUGCUAGGCUUGUAAGUUUCUUUCUUGCUAUUCCAAACGGUGAGAGAUUUCUGUGCUUUUGUUAUAGGACAAUUAAAACCGUUUCAAUACAACACACUGUGGAGUUUUCAUAUCUUUGCAACUUUUUCUUUGGGCAUUCGAGCAAUCGGGGCCCAGAGGUAACAAACACAAACAAUUUUAUCUAUUCAUUAAAUUUUUGUCAAAAACAAGAAUUUUCGUAACUGGAAAUUUUAAAAUAUUAAAAACUUUCAACAACGGAUCUCUUGGUUCUCGCAUCGAUGAAGAACGCAGCGAAAUGCGAUACGUAAUGUGAAUUGCAGAAUUCCGUGAAUCAUCGAAUCUUUGAACGCACAUUGCGCCCCUUGGUAUUCCAGGGGGCAUGCCUGUUUGAGCGUCAUUUCCUUCUCAAACAUUCUGUUUGGUAGUGAGUGAUACUCUUUGGAGUUAACUUGAAAUUGCUGGCCUUUUCAUUGGAUGUUUUUUUUCCAAAGAGAGGUUUCUCUGCGUGCUUGAGGUUUAAUGCAAGUACGGUCGUUUUAGGUUUUACCAACUGCGGCUAAUCUUUUUUUAUACUGAGCGUAUUGGAACGUUAUCGAUAAGAAGAGAGCGUCUAGGCGAACAAUGUUCUUAAAGUUUGACCUCAAAUCAGGUAGGAGUACCCGCUGAACUUAAGCAUAUCAAUA
Molecule: ribosomal RNA, 720 nt
Filed under: uncultured eukaryote
Lineage: Eukaryota
Description: eukaryotic LSU rRNA
Rfam family: 5.8S ribosomal RNA (bases 281-434)
Source: RNAcentral